CGGAGCAUGCGGAUUAAUUCGAUGCAACGCGAAGAACCUUACCAAGGCUUGACAUACACCGGUAACGCCCAGAGAUGGGUGCCCCUUUGUGGUCGGUGGACAGGUGGUGCAUGGUUGUCGUCAGCUCGUGUCGUGAGAUGUUGGGUUAAGUCCCGCAACGAGCGCAACCCUCGUCCUAUGUUGCCAGCGGGUCAUGCCGGGGACUCAUGGGAGACUGCCGGGGUCAACUCGGAGGAAGUGGGGAUGACGUCAAAUCAUCAUGCCCCUUAUGUCUUGGGCUUCACGCAUGCUACAAUGGCCGGUACAAAGGGCUGCGAUACCGCGAGGUGGAGCGAAUCCCAGAAAGCCGGUCUCAGUUCGGAUUGGGGUCUGCAACUCGACCCCAUGAAGUCGGAGUCGCUAGUAAUCGCAGAUCAGCACGCCGCGGUGAAUACGUUCCCGGGCCUU
Molecule: ribosomal RNA, 447 nt
Filed under: uncultured Cellulomonas sp.
Lineage: Bacteria; Bacillati; Actinomycetota; Actinomycetes; Micrococcales; Cellulomonadaceae
Description: bacterial SSU rRNA
Rfam family: Bacterial small subunit ribosomal RNA
Source: RNAcentral